RNAcentral lists this transfer RNA (83 nucleotides) under Microcaldota archaeon. RNAcentral's name for it is "tRNA-Ser". It matches the Rfam family "tRNA". Rfam says of the family: Transfer RNA (tRNA) molecules are approximately 80 nucleotides in length. The record is from RNAcentral. Lineage: Archaea; Nanobdellati; Microcaldota.
GCCGGGAUGACGGAGUGGUUAACGUGCACGCCUGGAAAGCGUGUGUCCGAAAGGACUCCUGAGUUCGAAUCUCAGUCCCGGCG